Dermacentor silvarum is the source of this 1811-nucleotide long non-coding RNA. RefSeq lists it as uncharacterized. The transcript has 10 exons. Lineage: Eukaryota; Metazoa; Arthropoda; Arachnida; Ixodida; Ixodidae. The record is from RefSeq and is a predicted model, not a curated record.
UAAAGUUUCAAACUACAUAGGAUACGGCAACGCCCUCAUACGCUGCGCGCUAUACAGCAAGCAGAUAGACAACUGCUAUGCCUGCGCACAACUGUGACAUCGAGCGAAUGUCUGCCCAUCACCAGAUGCGCCCAUCUGCAGGGGCUGUGGAACACUAAAUCCCACGGAAGCACAUAACUGCACCCCACAAUGCUCCCUAUGCGGAGAGGAACAUAUCACGGCUGGCAAGGAAUGCAGGCAACGCUUCCAACUUCCCUACGUCGUUAGAAAACGUAGAAUCGAGAAGAGAGCAAUGCUGACUUCGAAUCAAGGGAUUCAACAGAGCACAUUCAGCUGAACGAGCAAUAUUUCCCUGAGCUCACCCAAUCUCAACCAAGCUGCGGCAGCGUAGCCCGUAGAAGAUCGGGAUCAAGAAACAAAUCCAAGGACCUUAGAGGAACAUCACGCAGCCAAUCCAGGGGACUCCGGAGCUGAUCCCGAGGACCCAACAAGGACAAGUACGAGACCAGGACCCGGUUCAACGUCCGCGGGCAGACCGACGGAGCACACGGCCACGUGGCGGCCAGCCAGGACGGCGGAGCCGGAGCCACCUGGGCCCAGCGACUUCAAUCACAACGACCGACAGAGGGCCUCAGAAAAGCUGAAGAGAACUCGGACAUUGCAAGUGCAAGUAACCGUGGCAGAGGAAAAAGGAAAAAGAAAAGAAGACAUUACAGUGAUGACGAUGAGAUGCCACUCCUUCAGCCACCACAGCCUAUGCAGAAAAGAGCAACACAUGGUGCUGCACAAAGAUCUGCAAGGAUGGAGCCUUCAAGGGUUUUGAGUGUGUCACAGCACUCGGCAUAUGAUGAAAGAACGCACGGUACUGCAAGGCGUUCCUCAAAGGAGCCACUGCACUUGUGGAACGUUCCACAGUGCUCUACAUAUGAUGACGAAGUUCAGAGCGACUUGCCAGGUUUCCGGCCUUCUGUAAGUCGGACGACACCAAGCUCAGGGUAUUACGAAUGUAGGAACCAGCCACAAGAGCAGGAACAUUUAGGGUGGUUCAGUGCAUAAUGUUCUAGUAUCAUGGCAUGCCCAUUUAUUCCCAUUGCUGUAUCAACACUUGUUUUUACAAAUAGGGUUGGAGAGACGCCAACGAAACAGCACCCAUGCCUGCUCGCCUCUUAUGGCUGCCUCUCUGCCAAGAAAGGAGUUCGCACAAUCAGGUCGUUGAGCGCUCACAGAAGAAUCAUAUGGGCGAGCAGAGCUUCAUUUCCCACUGCUCAUGUAUUGUCUACACCUACCUCAAGGCCCACAAGCAGACCAGUUUCAACCAUGCGUGGGCCACCUGAUGCAGCAAUUUUGUGGUCUAGGCGGCAGCAGCACUGGACCUGCAACACGGCGCAUUUUAGGAAUCUUACUAAGCCAAGUGGCCGUGCAGUAUAGUUGGCUUGGCAUGAAGGGGAAAAAAGUUUUUCUGCAUUGCAAGAGGCUGACACAAUCACAAGGGCUGAAAUACAAAACUUUUCUACAUCAAAACGAUGUGAUGUAGAGAACAUAAUAAGGGGGUGGCUGCGCCACUCUGGAGAAAAACUGCGCAAACAGCAGGCCAGGGCUGGCACACCUGAAGGUGAGUUUUGUAUUUAGAUUAUCAUGAAAAAUACUUGAAAAAAUAUUGUCUAGCGUGAGUACUUAACAUUUGAAGGUUAAUUACUGUUGUCGUGCUUAUGGGCUUGACCUCCAUAUGACAAUUCAGAUGCUGUAUCCAACAUAGCCACAAGGGCCUCGUGUUUAAGAAGUUGCACCUUGCUGUUUUCAGAACUGUCAUU